Molecule: ribosomal RNA, 302 nt
Filed under: uncultured bacterium
Lineage: Bacteria
Description: bacterial SSU rRNA
Rfam family: Bacterial small subunit ribosomal RNA
Source: RNAcentral
AUUGAACGCUGGCGGCAUGCUUUACACAUGCAAGUCGAACGGGGUGAGGGGGCAACUCCUCAUUCAGUGGUGAACGGGUGAGUAAUGCAUCGGAACGUGUCCCGUAGUGGGGGAUAACUCGGCGAAAGCCGUGCUAAUACCGCAUAUGCUCUACGGAGGAAAGUGGGGGAUCCGCAAGGACCUCACGCUAUGGGAGCGGCCGAUGUCCGAUUAGCUUGUUGGCGGGGAAUGGCCCACCAAGGCGACGAUCGGUAGCUGGUCUGAGAGGAUGAUCAGCCACACUGGGACUGAGACACGGCCCA